UCCCAGACUCCUACGGGAGGCAGCAGUGGGGGAUAUUGCACAAUGGGGGAAACCCUGAUGCAGCGACGCCGCGUGAGCGAUGAAGUAUUUCGGUAUGUAAAGCUCUAUCAGCAGAGAAGAAAAUGACGGUACCUGACUAAGAAGCCCCGGCUAACUACGUGCCAGCAGCCGCGGUAAUACGUAGGGGGCAAGCGUUAUCCGGAUUUACUGGGUGUAAAGGGAGCGUAGACGGCCAUUCAAGCCAGAUGUGAAAGCCCGGGGCUCAACUCCGGGACUGCAUUUGGAACUGUGGGGCUAGAGUGUCGGAGAGGCAGGCGGAAUUCCUAGUGUAGCGGUGAAAUGCGUAGAUAUUAGGAGGAACACCAGUGGCGAAGGCGGCCUGCUGGACGAUGACUGACGUUGAGGCUCGAAAGCGUGGGGAGCAAACAGGAUUAGAUACCCCGGUA
RNAcentral lists this ribosomal RNA (446 nucleotides) under uncultured bacterium. RNAcentral describes it as "bacterial SSU rRNA". It matches the Rfam family "Bacterial small subunit ribosomal RNA", at positions 329 to 792 of the family's 1533-position model. The record is from RNAcentral.